AUUGAACGCUGGCGGCAGGCCUAACACAUGCAAGUCGAGCGGCAGCGGGACCUUCGGGUUGCCGGCGAGCGGCGGACGGGUGAGUAAUGCCUAGGAAUCUGCCUGUUCGUGGGGGAUAACGCGGGGAAACUCGCGCUAAUACCGCAUACGUCCUACGGGAGAAAGCGGGGGCUCUUCGGACCUCGCGCUAACAGAUGAGCCUAGGUCGGGUUGGCUAGUUGGUGGGGUAAUGGCCCACCAAGGCGACGAUCCGUAACUGGUCUGAGAGGAUGAUCAGUCACACUGGAACUGAGACACGGUCCAGACUCCUACGGGAGGCAGCAGUGGGGAAUAUUGGACAGUGGGCAAAAGCCUGAUCCAGCCAUGCCGCGUGUGUGAAGAAGGUCUUCGGAUUGUAAAGCACUUUAAGUCGGGAGGAAGGGCUGUAGGCUAAUACCUUGCAGUUUUGACGUUACCGACAGAAUAAGCACCGGCUAACUUCGUGCCAGCAGCCGCCGUAA
Molecule: ribosomal RNA, 500 nt
Filed under: uncultured bacterium
Lineage: Bacteria
Description: partial 16S ribosomal RNA
Rfam family: Bacterial small subunit ribosomal RNA
Source: RNAcentral